UCUAGUGAUGAUGGCAAAGAGGUCACACCCGUUCCCAUACCGAACACGGAAGUUAAGCUCUUUUGCGCCGAUGGUAGUNGAUGAGGUAGAUAGGUUCGGGGUGGAAGCGUGGCGACACGUGCA
RNAcentral lists this ribosomal RNA (123 nucleotides) under Psychrobacillus soli. The record is from RNAcentral. Lineage: Bacteria; Bacillati; Bacillota; Bacilli; Caryophanales; Bacillaceae.